AUUGAACGCUGGCGGCAUGCCUUACACAUGCAAGUCGAACGGCAGCACGGGAGCUUGCUCCUGGUGGCGAGUGGCGAACGGGUGAGUAAUGCAUCGGAACGUGCCCUGAAGUGGGGGAUAACGUAGCGAAAGUUACGCUAAUACCGCAUAUUCUGUGAGCAGGAAAGCAGGGGAUCUUCGGAACCUUGCGCUUUUGGAGCGGCCGAUGUCGGAUUAGCUAGUUGGUGGGUAAAGGCCCACCAAGGCGACGAUCCGUAGCGGGUCUGAGAGGAUGAUCCGCCACACUGGAACUGAGACACGGUCCAGACUCCUACGGGAGGCAGCAGUGGGAAUUUUGGACAAUGGGCGCAAGCCUGAUCCAGCCAUGCCGCGUGAGUGAAGAAGGCCUU
RNAcentral lists this ribosomal RNA (389 nucleotides) under uncultured bacterium. Its description in RNAcentral is "bacterial SSU rRNA". It matches the Rfam family "Bacterial small subunit ribosomal RNA", at positions 30 to 418 of the family's 1533-position model. The record is from RNAcentral.